CAAAGGUAGCGUAAUCAUUUGUCUAUUAAUUGUAGACCUGUAUGAAAGGCAUAAUGAGGGUUUAACUGUCUCUUUUAGUAAAUCAAUUAAACUGAUCUUCUAGUUAAAAAGCUAGAAUAGUAACAUAAGACCAGAAGACCCUGUGAAGCUUUAACUAAACUAUUAAAUCCUAUAAUAACUACUUUCGGUUGGGGCGACCUUGGAAAAAAAAAGAACUUCCAAAAAUCUAUUACAUAAUAAUACCUACCGGCUAACAAGCCUAUACAAGACCCAGCAAAGCUGAUAAUUGAACCAAGCUACUCCAGGGAUAACAGCGCUAUCUUCUUCAAGAGCCCAUAUCAAAAAGAAGGUUUACGACCUCGAUGUUGGAUCAGGACAUCCUAAUGGUGCAGCCGCUAUUAAUGGU
This 406-nucleotide ribosomal RNA is filed under the name Pseudechis australis (mulga snake). RNAcentral describes it as "partial 16S ribosomal RNA". It matches the Rfam family "Bacterial large subunit ribosomal RNA", at positions 1951 to 2572 of the family's 2925-position model. Lineage: Eukaryota; Metazoa; Chordata; Lepidosauria; Squamata; Elapidae. The record is from RNAcentral.